UUUUUAGAUUUAUUUGGAAUUUAAAUUAAAUAUUUGCUAAUCGGGAAAAAUAUGUAAAAGAAGGGAUAAUUGGAAAAAAAAAUCAAAUAAAUUACACAUUUUUUACACGUAAAUAUUCUUGUAUCAGCGCUGAGUAAUUCUAGGCUAGGUAUCUGUUUGGGAAAUAUCAUUAAUUUAUGUUGGCUUUUGUUUACAAUUUGAACCCGUUUGAUGCUUACAUGUUUGGGAAGCAUCGUUAAUUGCCAUUCAUGUUCACAUUAUUACAACAUAAUUUGUUUUUAACAUUUGAGGUUUUAUGGUAUUUGAUGACAAGCAUAUCUGUCACAAAUCUACAUUUGAACACUACAAAGAACAAGUGCCCAUUUCGUUUGUCUAUCGCAUGAAGAACUGCACCAUCUAACUGCACCAUCUAUCUGUCAUAUAUAUAAAUAUGGCACUUGAAUUUUACUGGAAACAGAGUCAUUUUAUUCAGUUUCUAUGAAACAAUUCAUUUUGCUUGUGGUUAUGACAGUUGUUGUGCUUGAUUUUUGUUAGUCUUGGGAAGAAGAGAGAUGCUCAUUGUCCCGGGUUGGGGAAACGGUUAAAAACAGGGGCACCAUGUUGGAGGGGUUCCUGCCCCUGGCUGGCACCCCUCCAAUAUGGGGGCACCAUGUGGCACCCCUGUUUUUAACCCAGUCCCCGACCCGGGACAGGGAGAUUUAUUCUGGGAAGAAAAUCAAGACAAUUAUGUUUUAGAUGUGUUGGAUCAAAGAAAAUGGAAUUUGAAUUACAUAAUGAACACUUGUCAUCAUUAUGAUCACACAGAUGGCAACAUGGACUUAAAAAAGAAAGGUAUGGUGCUAAGUUAUGGUUAAUAAUUUUGAAGCUUUUGAUACUACCUUAAGCUUUUCUGUCAUUCAAUUCUGUCUCGUCCCCUUCCUCUCUCCCUAUAUCAAUUGUAGGUGAUGCAGAUUGUUGAAUGAUGGUGUUAUAUGAAGUUUUUUUUUUUUUUUUUUUUUUUUCUUCCUCUUGUUAGAGAUCACAAUAUUACUUUAGCUAUAUAUUUAUUUUUGACUGGGCCACUGAGGUACAACAAUACAGACUUGUUCUAUGAUCUGAAUGUAAAUGUUCUUUACAACGAUUGCAUGGGGAGUGUCCGCUAGACUUGAAAGAAGCAAUUUCCUGUGUACGUUUUGCUGCCCGAUCUCCCAGAGUUGAUGUAGGUUCAAAUACUGUUUGCUGGCAAAUAAGGAAAAGAAUUUGUUUUUCCCUGCAACUGAGAUUAGGCCGGAAUGAAGUGUAAAUAGUCAGGUUGAAUAAUUUGUCAUCUUAUGGAAAUUUAUUCAGAAUUUGAAACUUUUUAAUUUUAUUUCUCUUAUUUCUUGUGACACUUUUUACACUUAUAGUUGGUGGAGCAUUUAUCCGUUCGAGCUACAACUCUUAAUGUGAAACUGAAGCUGCUCAAGGAAAUUGCUGAAGUGAGGCUAGACAGGAUUCCAGUGCGUUCGGAACUGAAUUGCUGAAGCCACAUGAAGACUUACUGGUAUAGAUUACUUCUCAUCGCCUUACGUCCAUUUAUACCUUCGUGCCUGAUGUGCGUGCCUUUCCUUUCCAGAGAGGUCCGAUACAAUUUAUCAGUGGUUCUAAGUUGCCCUUCAAUAGUGAGAAACUUGAUGAACCACUGUAUUCCCGCACCCAAACAAGAUAAGGAGAAACAAUCUGAUUCUGAUGCGAAUUUUGAAAUACUAGAUUUUCCAGAAGUUACUAAGUCAGUCAGUAGAAGUGUUGCUGAAGAAAUCAGUUAGCAAUGCUAGUAAAUGAAUGUGUUAAACAAGGAACUAAAAGUGUCACAGGGAUUGCAAUAUGCAAGCUAAGUAGAAGACUUCUUCUUGCUGAAAGAAGAAUUACCACUUAAUGGAAAUCACAUUUGGAGAUUAAAAUAGUUGGCUGAAGUUCAGAUUUGUAUUUACUGAAGGACAGCAACCAGAAAUUACCUUCAAGAGCUUUAGCAGAUACAAAGACAUAUUGUGGGGACAGAAUAAGGUAUUAUCAACUUCUAAUACCAGUAAAACUUGCCUGGGUAAAUGUUAGGAAAUUAGAGUUUUGAAUUUUUUAACUUUACAUUAUUUCUACGAUCUAAUAAAUUGUAUCACUUUGUUAAUUUUCAGAUUUAAAUGCAUCUUUUGGUUCGACGGAUGUGUUUUCCAAACAGGUCGCAAGAGUUCAAGAAAUUUUCUUUUGAAGAACUAGAAUGAGAUAUUCUGAUUUAAUUUUGUUUAUUGCACUUUUAAGCAUAUAUUGCUCUUAGUAUUUAAUAUGGACGGAACAUAAUUAUAUUUCUCAAGUGAACAGUUACAUUUGUAUAUUUCUGCAAUACAAUAUUGAUACAUG
Molecule: long non-coding RNA, 2370 nt
Filed under: Olea europaea subsp. europaea
Lineage: Eukaryota; Viridiplantae; Streptophyta; Magnoliopsida; Lamiales; Oleaceae
Source: RNAcentral